AAUCCAGAAAAACUACAUCCACCACCUUUCCUUCACCCACAAGGUGGGUCACCUUAUCAUAAGAGGAUAUCAAAUUAGUUAGAACUUUCCCUUUGUGAACCCAUGUUGACUGUGCCUCAUGAUUGCAUUGUUCUUUGAAUGCCUUUCAAUAGCACACAGUAUGAUCUUCUCCAUAAUUUUCCAGGUUCUGAGGUUAGACUAACAGGUCUGAGUCUUCCCUUAUGCCUUUUUUGUAGAUUGGAAUAAUAUUGGCUAGCUUCCAGUCAGUGGAGACCUCCAAUUUUUGUGCUCAGGUAAGCACAAGCUGCAACAGGAUUAGCCUUACAACACAUAGCCCUGCACCCCUAGAGUCCCAGUGGGCCUAGACAAUCAAUUUUAUGUUGAAGAGGGACUAAUUGACUUACUUCCUCAUUAAGCUCUUGAAUGCCAGUUUAUCUGUUAUAACUGUCCAAGUGCAGGUUUCUAUUUGCCUGUCACAGGAGUGAGUCAUUACUGUGGAGCAGCUGACAUGACACUGCCUCUGCCAUGCACACUGUACUUUGCUGCUCAUGGCCUGCAUCUAGGUUAUAACCUAUGCUUUAAAACAUGGGAAGGAAAGGAUGUGGGUAAGGAGGACAGCAAAGAUGAUGCCAUGAAGUCAGAGCUGGAAAAGAUGGUUUGGUGGUUGUUAUUGGAAAAGGGCUCCAUUUAUUUUUUUAUAUAUAAUGAAGUAUUUCCCCCUCUCCCCACCCCGAAUCUUGCAGACCUUGCACUCUCAGAGGUUGCUUUUAAGGACUGUGCAGGGCUAGUGCUGUUAACUUUGUGCAGGAGCCAAAAGUGGUUGGUAAAGGACAGAAGCACUUACUGCACCUAUUAAGCAAAAUCUACACCUUCUUCCUGUGCACAACAUUCCUGCUGUGGCUGCUCUCUCAAAGACAAACAAAUGCCUUCAAGAACUGACUUCCAAACAGCAACACAGAUGCCAACAGCUUCCCAUAAGAUCUGUAUGGCUGGUAACCAGAAUCAGUCAAGCUUGGAGAAAGACAAGUCAAGCAUUUUAAACACUUAGAAAACAGAGCAUCUCAAAAUGCCUGCUGUUCUGUGCUACACAUGAAAAAUCCAUGCAAGCACAGUCCCACUUUUGUCCAUUGGGUGUUAUUGCUAGCCACAGCAAGGUGACCAAACCACCCAGGAUGAAAUUUACUUCUCUGCAAACCAUUCAGCCCCCACAGUAGGCCAUGUAGGUAUGAACAACACCAACUGGCUACAGUCCAUUACUGAUGCAUGCACGUGACUAUUUCAGCCCCAUGCAAUUUCCUUCCUGAUCUCUGAACCGUGUGUUGAAUAGACAUGAAGUCAAAUAAAACCUCACUAAUGAGAAAAAAAACCUGACUCUUGGGAAAAGUAUUUUUUGCCAACACAGGUGACAAGUAUGUUUUGAAAUGGAAGCCUGUACAAAGAAAAGGCAGUGCUUAGUCCCCAGUGAUUGCUUGCGACGUGUAUUAGUACUCUUCUGCAAACAUGAGCCUAGUGCCUUGCAUGCAUCCACUGCAGGUUUACACCGGUACAGUAGACCCCGUGGAGUAGUUCCUAAAGGACAUGAGCCCUAGAAGUCUACUUAGUCCGUCAGCUGAUCAUGAAUAAAACCACAUUAGCACAGUUUUAAGAUGUUAUCAAAGUAAUGAAUACAAGCCAACAGGCUGAAGAACAGGUGAAAUCUUAGGACAGUUGAUUUAGGGCCACUCACGCAGGUCUUUUUUUCACUUAGUAGCAAUGAAAGUCUCUUCUCUGACACUGUUCCUUUCUACUCUUGCUCUUGGGGUUCACAACUUCUUGGUGUCAAUAACCAGGGUCAGCCAGAGGCAUCUACUUACCUUUCAAACUCAGCAGAGAAAUCAACAGAAAAUUCAUGUGACUGGGAGAGCUCACUUUUAUGGAGGCUACCAGAUGAAGAAGAUUUAAUAAAGCUGUGAGUCAAAAGGAGUACUGGAAAUUUUGUUCUGGACUAAAAGGCUUCUUUCUCCUUGCAGACUGAGUGAGAUUCAUGCAAAAAUACUUCGAAGACUGAGAGAACAGGUUGGCCAGAGAAGUUGUGGAUGCCCCAUCCCUGGAAGUGUUCAAGGCCAGGUUGGAUGGGGCUUUGGGCAACCUGGUCUAGUGGAGGGUGUCCCUGCCCAUGGCAGGGGGGUUGGAACUAGAUGAUCUUUAAGGUCCCUUCCAACCCAAACCAUUCUAUGACUCUACAAUUCUAUGAUCUCUGUCCCCAAGGCUUCCAUUCUUGGAUUUAACCAGAAGAAACCAGACAGUACAUCUGAACUAAGAGUCAUCUGCAAUUUUGCUGAAAAUAAAGGAAAGCAAACAAAAGCAGCAUAUAGUAAAAAAAGAGCUAGCCUAGUUUUAAGAGGAAAGAUUAAAUUGAACUCUAGACAACCAACAAUAAAUGAGGAUAUCAGAGUGUCUUACAAGUGUAAUUUCUGUUGGGGCAGAAAUACUAGAAAUAUUAACCUUAGCCUGUAAAAACUUGCUGUAAAAUUAAAGGACAAAGCAGCAAAAGCUGAUUCCCCAAUCACUUUGCAGCCACAACACUGAGGCAUCAGAAGAAAAGUGACGAAACAGGGAUCUAAAUAUCCAUGCUUUAUUUAGAAGAAAGCAGCUCGAAAGUUUCCAUUCAGCUGUGUCUCCUUUCUUUUCUAACCCACAUGCUUCAGUUUAUCAGCCCUCAAUUGUGCAGCUACAUCUGCUUGUGGAAUCAUGUCAAACUCGAUUACUGAAAUUAUUCCAUUUAAAGAUAGUCUUCUGAGAUAAGACACAACAGACCAUGGGUCUGAGCAACACAGAACUAGGUAAGACAGGAGCCCUCCCUUCAUCUCUUCAAAGCCAAAAGAAACACUUCAGGUAAAGAACACAUCAUGCUGUCUCUGUUCAAACAAACAACCAAUCAACAAUAACACCAAAACUGUCAAACUUGUCCUCAUUAUCUACUGGCUUCCUGCACUGCUUAUCUUUGAGGAAGAAGUUCUUUAUCUCCAAAGUUUAAGCCUGAGUUAUUUAAAGAUUGACAACAAUUCUGGAAUGAAGAUUCUUUUGUCCUCAGGUACACUGGGGGUUACUGCAUUAGAGCUACAGCAUCCAGGAGAUGGACCUUUUUCUUAACUUAGAAUCAAAAAACCAAAUAAAAUUCUAUCCACA
Molecule: long non-coding RNA, 3168 nt
Organism: Grus americana (Whooping crane)
Lineage: Eukaryota; Metazoa; Chordata; Aves; Gruiformes; Gruidae
Exons: 2
Source: RefSeq, a predicted model, not a curated record